Small nucleolar RNA from Ornithorhynchus anatinus (platypus), 138 nucleotides. The record is from RefSeq and is a predicted model, not a curated record. Lineage: Eukaryota; Metazoa; Chordata; Mammalia; Monotremata; Ornithorhynchidae.
CUCCUCUCAGGGUCAUAUCUGGAGAGUUUCCAGUACUCUGCCAGUCACGACUACAGGAGGGAGAGUCAAGAAGAGGCCUACCCAUUCCAUUACUAGCUUGGCCAUUGGCUAGCCAGUGGAAGGCAAUCUGCUACAAGU